This 253-nucleotide ribosomal RNA is filed under the name uncultured bacterium. Its description in RNAcentral is "partial 16S ribosomal RNA". It matches the Rfam family "Bacterial small subunit ribosomal RNA", at positions 524 to 776 of the family's 1533-position model. The record is from RNAcentral.
UACGAAGGGGGCAAGCGUUGUUCGGAAUUACUGGGCGUAAAGGGCGCGUAGGCGGCUUAUCAAGUCAGGCGUGAAAUUCCCGGGCUCAACCUGGGGGCUGCGCUUGAUACUGAUGAGCUUGAAUGCGGGAGAGGAUAGUGGAAUUCCCAGUGUAGAGGUGAAAUGCGUAGAUAUCUGGAGGAACACCGGUGGCGAAGGCGGCAUCCUGGACCAACACUGACGCUGAGGAGCGAAAGCCAGGGGAGCAAACGGG